Macaca fascicularis (crab-eating macaque) is the source of this 117-nucleotide unclassified non-coding RNA. It matches the Rfam family "Metazoan signal recognition particle RNA". From Rfam's summary of the family: The signal recognition particle (SRP) is a universally conserved ribonucleoprotein. Lineage: Eukaryota; Metazoa; Chordata; Mammalia; Primates; Cercopithecidae. The record is from Ensembl.
GCCGGGUGUGGUGGCUCAUGCCUGUAAUCCCAGCACUUUGGGAGGCUGAGACGGGAGGAUUGCUUGAGCUCAGGAGUUCCAGACCAGCCUGGGCAACAUGGUGAGACCCCGUCUCUA